UACGUGAGGUGCAAGCGUUAAUCGGAAUUACUGGGUGUAAAGCGUGCGCAGGCGGUUUUGUAAGUCUGUCGUGAAAUCCCCGGGCUCAACCUGGGAAUUGCGAUGGAGACUACAAGGCUAGAAUCUGGCAGAGGGGGGUAGAAUUCCACGUGUAGCAGUGAAAUGCGUAGAGAUGUGGAGGAACACCGAUGGCGAAGGCAGCCCCCUGGGUCAAGAUUGACGCUCAUGCACGAAAGCGUGGGGAGCAAACAGG
RNAcentral lists this ribosomal RNA (253 nucleotides) under uncultured bacterium. Its description in RNAcentral is "partial 16S ribosomal RNA". It matches the Rfam family "Bacterial small subunit ribosomal RNA", at positions 524 to 776 of the family's 1533-position model. The record is from RNAcentral.